AUGCAGUCGAGCGGACAGAUGGGAGCUUGCUCCCUGAUGUUAGCGUCGGACGGGUGAGUAACACGUGGGUAACCUGCCUGUAAGACUGGGAUAACUCCGGGAAACCGGGGCUAAUACCGGAUGGUUGUUUGAACCGCAUGGUUCAAACAUAAAAGGUGGCUUCGGCUACCACUUACAGAUGGACCCGCGGCGCAUUAGCUAGUUGGUGAGGUAACGGCUCACCAAGGCAACGAUGCGUAGCGACCUGAGAGGGUGAUCGGCCACACUGGGACUGAGACACGGCCCAGACUCCUACGGGAGGCAGCAGUAGGGAAUCUUCCGCAAUGGACAAAGUCUGACGGAGCAACGCCGCGUGAGUGAUGAAGGUUUUCGGAUCGUAAAGCUCUGUUGUUAGGGAAGAACAAGUACGUUCGAAUAGGGCGGUACCUUGACGGUACCUAACCAGAAAGCCACGGCUAACUACGUGCCAGCAGCCGCGGUAAUACGUAGGUGGCAAG
Molecule: ribosomal RNA, 497 nt
Filed under: Bacillus sp. KT05
Lineage: Bacteria; Bacillati; Bacillota; Bacilli; Caryophanales; Bacillaceae
Description: bacterial SSU rRNA
Rfam family: Bacterial small subunit ribosomal RNA
Source: RNAcentral